RNAcentral lists this long non-coding RNA (420 nucleotides) under Oryctolagus cuniculus (rabbit). RNAcentral's name for it is "lncRNA (ENSOCUG00000037296.1)". The record is from RNAcentral. Lineage: Eukaryota; Metazoa; Chordata; Mammalia; Lagomorpha; Leporidae.
AUGAAUGAAUUUGGGGAAUUUGAAUCUAUCUGGGAGCUAAGGGAAUACUUCAUGCUAAGUUUGAUCCUUGCUUCUCCAAUCCCCGCUCCUGAAAUAACAUCAUCCAUCAUGAAGGCACUCCAAGAAAUUUUUGUGUGUAUCUCUUGAAUCUAUAGCACAUAUUUUAAAAGAUGCAAAGAAUUGUGGAAAAAUAGCAAAAGUAAACAUAGUACAGAAGAAGACACUAUAGGAACUGGGAGUGAAUUUGAAGACUGAGAAUCACUGGCAAUGGAAGGUGAUAAGUGACAGUGAUUUUCCUUCUUGAAUAGCUUAAAAACCCAUGUAUUCAUGGGAGAUGAGUCCUUUGGUUUUGAAUUCAGAGAGCUAGAACAGGUCUCUCACCAAUGAAAGGGCAUACAAAUAAACCCACACAUCUGCACA